RNAcentral lists this ribosomal RNA (308 nucleotides) under Salmonella enterica. RNAcentral's name for it is "partial 16S ribosomal RNA". It matches the Rfam family "Bacterial small subunit ribosomal RNA", at positions 110 to 421 of the family's 1533-position model. Lineage: Bacteria; Pseudomonadati; Pseudomonadota; Gammaproteobacteria; Enterobacterales; Enterobacteriaceae. RNAcentral also lists the same sequence under 1 other name. The record is from RNAcentral.
GUAAUGUCUGGGAAACUGCCUGAUGGAGGGGGAUAACUACUGGAAACGGUGGCUAAUACCGCAUAACGUCGCAAGACCAAAGAGGGGGACCUUCGGGCCUCUUGCCAUCAGAUGUGCCCAGAUGGGAUUAGCUUGUUGGUGAGGUAACGGCUCACCAAGGCGACGAUCCCUAGCUGGUCUGAGAGGAUGACCAGCCACACUGGAACUGAGACACGGUCCAGACUCCUACGGGAGGCAGCAGUGGGGAAUAUUGCACAAUGGGCGCAAGCCUGAUGCAGCCAUGCCGCGUGUAUGAAGAAGGCCUUCGG